AUUGAACGCUGGCGGCAUGCUUUACACAUGCAAGUCGAACGGUAACAGGCCGCAAGGUGCUGACGAGUGGCGAACGGGUGAGUAAUGCAUCGGAACGUGCCCAGUCGUGGGGGAUAACUACUCGAAAGAGUAGCUAAUACCGCAUACGAUCUAUGGAUGAAAGCGGGGGACCGUAAGGCCUCGCGCGAUUGGAGCGGCCGAUGUCAGAUUAGGUAGUUGGUGGGGUAAAGGCUCACCAAGCCAACGAUCUGUAGCUGGUCUGAGAGGACGACCAGCCACACUGGGACUGAGACCCGGCCCAGACUCCUACGGGAGGCAGCAGUGGGGAAUUUUGGACAAUGGGCGCAAGCCUGAUCCAGCAAUGCCGCGUGCAGGAAGAAGGCCUUCGGGUUGUAAACUGCUUUUGUACGGAACGAAACGGCUCUGGUUAAUACCCGGGGCUAAUGACGGUACCGUAAGAAUAAGCACCGGCUAACUACGU
RNAcentral lists this ribosomal RNA (481 nucleotides) under uncultured bacterium. RNAcentral's name for it is "partial 16S ribosomal RNA". It matches the Rfam family "Bacterial small subunit ribosomal RNA", at positions 30 to 506 of the family's 1533-position model. The record is from RNAcentral.